RNAcentral lists this ribosomal RNA (504 nucleotides) under uncultured Bacteroidota bacterium. RNAcentral's name for it is "bacterial SSU rRNA". It matches the Rfam family "Bacterial small subunit ribosomal RNA", at positions 355 to 859 of the family's 1533-position model. The record is from RNAcentral. Lineage: Bacteria; Pseudomonadati; Bacteroidota.
UAGGGAAUAUUGGGCAAUGGCCGAGAGGCUGACCCAGCCAUGCCGCGUGCAGGAAGAAGGCCUUCUGGGUUGUAAACUGCUUUUACCAGGGAAGAAAACGCUCUUGCGAGAGUAACUGACGGUACCUGGUGAAUAAGCACCGGCUAACUCCGUGCCAGCAGCCGCGGUAAUACGGAGGGUGCAAGCGUUGUCCGGAUUUAUUGGGUUUAAAGGGUGCGUAGGCGGCCCGUUAAGUCAGCGGUGAAAUCCCAGGGCUCAACCCUGGAACUGCCGUUGAUACUGGCGGGCUUGAGUUCGGUCGAGGCGGGCGGAACUGGUGGUGUAGCGGUGAAAUGCAUAGAUACCACCAAGAACCCCGAUUGCGAAGGCAGCUCGCUGGCCCGAAACUGACGCUGAGGCACGAAAGCGUGGGGAGCGAACAGGAUUAGAUACCCUGGUAGUCCACGCCGUAAACGAUGAUUACUCGAUGUUUGCGAUACACUGCAAGCGUCCAAGCGAAAGACG